RNAcentral lists this ribosomal RNA (402 nucleotides) under uncultured bacterium. Its description in RNAcentral is "bacterial SSU rRNA". It matches the Rfam family "Bacterial small subunit ribosomal RNA", at positions 28 to 433 of the family's 1533-position model. The record is from RNAcentral.
GACGAACGCUGGCGGCGUGCUUAACACAUGCAAGUCGAGCGGUAAGGCCCUUUCGGGGGUACACGAGCGGCGAACGGGUGAGUAACACGUGGGUGACCUGCCCUCAGCUCUGGGAUAAGCCUGGGAAACCGGGUCUAAUACCGGAUAUGACUCCAUGACGCAUGUUGUGGGGUGGAAAGCCUUGUGCGGCUGAGGAUGGGCCCGCGGCCUAUCAGCUUGUUGGUGGGGUGANGGCCUACCAAGGCGACGACGGGUAGCCGGCCUGAGAGGGCGACCGGCCACACUGGGACUGAGACACGGCCCAGACUCCUACGGGAGGCAGCAGUGGGGAAUCUUGCGCAAUGGGCGAAAGCCUGACGCAGCGACGCCGCGUGAGGGAUGACGGCCUCGGUUGUAACGUAC